GUCGACAACUGUCCAGAUAAAGCCCCUGUAUGUACAGCCCUCACCAGUUUGGUGAAGAUACUGAUAAACCAGCAUGAUCGAGCUUUUGGCCAAACUGCUCAUAUGAACACGGUAGACCAGCUAAAUACUGAUAAUACUACCAGAAACAGAGAACACUGGCUGGCCACAGGUCCUGACCUCACAGAUGUGGAAGGUUGACAGCAGCUGUUCUACAGGAGAACUCUCAUGUACACGUGGAACUCUCACUCUUUUAUACUGUAUGCUGGUCUAAAGUAGCUAAUUUCACUCACGCUUUCGCCAAUACACCAAGUAAAUAACUUUAAUUACAGUGCAUUUCAGACCACUCUGUCCAGAUAAAGCCCCCUUUAUGUUCAGCCCCCAUUACAAACAACGCCAGAGCCGAGCCGCGGCGGAAACACCCGAAGCGCUGCCGAAAGGACUGCGCAUGCGCCGCCGUCUCCUCCACAACAGCUAAAGAUUAUAGAGCUUCGCUUCUGAUUCGCAUCAAAACUGAAUUCAGGCCGAACCUCGACCCGGUAUCGGUCCGGAUCCGGCACGGGACACAGGAGCGAAGAACCGCGACAGCUGGAGAAAGCGGGCGGGCUGGUGCGCGCUCUAGCGCAGCGUUGAUUGUAAACACGGCGGGUAAACGGUGGGAAUAGCGGGGCGGCAGCGCGCGGGCGGCCGUGGCAGGCCGAGCGGGUUAAAGAGCGCACGGGCGGACACUGACCUGCGCGAGUCCGCCGCGUGCACGAGCCGCCGUCUUCACUCUAUCUCAACAAUCCGCUCCUCAGGAUCCGCGAGCGAGAGCCACAUCACCAAACAUCCCGGAAACCGAGGCGCAGCGCUGCGAUUGGACCCGCCGACUCCUGCCGAGGGACCGUCCACAAAGUGCAUGCGCGCAGGGGAAACGAAGUUCAUCGACUCACACCGUGCCCGGGUAGUUUCGGUUUCGCACUGCAGUCACACCCGAGACUCCGGACCACAGCCCACACCAAGAAAGAAGUGGCAGCCAAUCACACAGAGCGUACUCUCAAUCGGAAACAACCGUCUGCCUGGAGGACUGCAUUGGGGGACUCACCCAGAGCAGAGUAACCAAUUGACCUCAUCUCCAUAUUUUUGGAAUGUGGCAUGAAACCAGAAUUUGUGGAGGAAACCCACACAGACACAAGGAGAACAUGGAGGCUCCACCCAGAUAAGAACUGGAACCCAGAACUUUUGAGAAAUUCUGAGAGGCAAACCUGCUAAUCACCAAGCCAGCAUGCACCUUGAAUAACAGCAAACUCAAGUUGCAUUACUCAAUACAUUCAAAAAUUAUUGGUGUUGUUUACGCUGCAGACUGUGCUUAUGUGAUCUUACAACAUUGGAGGCAGAGCAAAGUUGAUUGCAGCCAAGCAUCAAAAAAGACCUUUAAGGAUUUAAAUUUUGGAUCUUAAUUUAUCACGUUACACAUUAGUUUUGGGAUCUUUUUUGCACUUUUUAGGAACAUUACCCCUCUAACAAAUACCUAACAAGCCAACCUGUAAGCCAAUGGGAGACUGUGCAUGUCUACAUAUGUGUGUGUGUCCUAGUACGUGUGA
This 1580-nucleotide long non-coding RNA is filed under the name Astyanax mexicanus (Mexican tetra). RNAcentral's name for it is "lncRNA (ENSAMXG00005022943.1)". Lineage: Eukaryota; Metazoa; Chordata; Actinopteri; Characiformes; Acestrorhamphidae. The record is from RNAcentral.